GCCGCCCGCCGUCAGCCCGAGGGGACGGACGCGAGCCCCUCCGACAGCGGCUGCGGGCCCAGCUGGCCCGCGUUGGCCCCCGCCUCCCGAGCCAGCCGCCUCUCCCAGAGCUCCGGACCUGCAGGCUCUGGAGGAGUUACUGGGGUGUCACAUCGCCUGCCUAGAGGGCUGUCGGAACUUGAACACACCUCCAACCUUAGGUGUCAGGACCCUGCGCCCCGCUUGCUUUCCGGCCGGCACCCCCAUCCCUCGGUGCACGCACGCGGUGGUGGCGGCGGCCGCCAGAAGUCCCUGAGUGGCUUUUUAAUGACACAGACAGGCAAGAACCAGGCGCUGCCCUGAAUUCCGGCCUUGGCAGUGGCUGAGGAAAGUCGCAAGGAGAGGGCAGAGAGGACCUGGCAGUCAAGAAAUACUCUCAACUCCCACCAAGGUCCCUACUCUGGGGAUGGUAGAGACAAACCCAUCCUGGUGUCCUGUGCUUAGGAAGGUGUGAGUGAGAUUGGGCUGGAGGCUGAGACAGCCUCUGAGAGCCCCAGGGCGCCCGCUCUGCAGCAGCUGCUUAGUCGCAAAGAAGCCUGAGAGCAGCCAGGGCCUGCGGGUUCCACACUGAAGUCACAGUACAUGUGGGGUGUGUCUGUUUUUUCCUCAGACUCCCUAGUAAUUCUAGUCCUGCCAAAGACUGGGACCUAAGCUACCUAAGCAUUGCCAAGGGUUAGCUCUUUUCCUCAGCUUUAGAACAUGUAUUUAUUUUUAAAAUUCAGUUUUAAGGUAAAGAGAAAGGGAUGAAGUGAGAACCCGCCAGGCCCUAGUCCCUGACCGAGUCCUGGCCCCUUCUGGAGCUCAGGGCUCAGAUGUUUGCUAGAUGCCCCCCCCCCCCCGCAACUCCCACUCAGCGCAGAGCCUCUGACACUGCCUCCGCUUCCUUAGGGAAGGAAAUUCUAAUGUCCUGGGGGGUGGGAUGUCUUGCAGGGGAUGGAGGAGAGAGGAUGGGUUCAGGUUCUUACAUUAUCCUCAGACCUGUGAUCCACUGAACUCUCCUGACAGUUUCCCAAAGCUGGGGUGGCAGCCCCCAAGCUGCUAUCCAAGAAGUUCCUUUGGGAUAUGGAAAGAAAAUAGGAGAAAUCCUAAUUCUAUUCCUUUUUGUCUCAUCAUAAACUGUAUAUGUCUAUGGCAUAGGAAUGUCUCUGUAUCGUAGCCUGGUAUAUAGUUUAUAAGUAGAUGGAUGUGUCUGUUUUGCAAGCGCACAUUCUGCCUUUCACAGAAGAGGGUGUGUGCUCAGAGAAGUUUGGAGGGAUUGUCCAGACCAGCCCUUCCCUCUCUGGUCCCCUUGUCUUUCUGUCUUCAUCUAAUAGUCUUCCCCUUCAUUCACCCCUUCGUUUCUUUCUUUCCUGAUGCCUCCACUGUGACACCAUUGUCUGCUGCCACUGAACUUGCAGGUUCUGGGAGAUGCCACUUACUCUCAUGUCAGCAGCCUGGGACAAGUCUUCUGCCCGAGGGCCCACCCUUCCCUGAUCACCUGCACAUUCAGAUGCCCCCAGCUCCUGUUUGAACUGUUCCCUGAUGCCUGCACCUCCCACAUUGCUCCCGAGUCACUCUGUUGCACUCAUUUGUUUAACUUUACAGAGAUUUAUCUGGACUCUCCUUGAGAACAAGGCCCAAUCUCAUCAACUCUACAUUCAGAAUACUUGCUUGGUGUCACACAUGCACCUUGACCCUGCCACUGAGGGGAGAACCUGGGCCCAGUGAGCUUAAUCGGUCCUCACAAGGUCGGGCUGCUGAUCCCACUAAGAAGCUUGAGCCUCCUAAUCUAUCCCAGCAGAACCUCAGGACAGUUGACAGUGGCUCCUGAGAACUGGCUGGGGCCAUUUUGGCCCCUUGCCUGUGGCCAUUUCCUGCAGACUUGGUCUGGGAGGGGAUGGGGCAGCUGAGCCAUGUGCACCACCCUCUUCCUACUCAGCACCUUGGCCAUGCUCUGGCGCCGCCGAUUUGCCAACCGGGUCCAACCGUGAGAAUCUGACUGGGCUAUGGAUGGGGUGGGGGAGGAACUACUGAGUUGGGCUCCAGCCAAGCUCAAGGUGGUAAGAGGCUGCCUGGACAUCCAGGGGGCUGGGAGGGCAUUUGCUGGGAACCUGAGAGGGUCACUGUCAAAAAGGAGGGAACUUAGAGCUUCUGAGGCACUAGCCUGCAGCCUCCACUCCCAUAGCUUCACAUGGCUAGGCCCCGUGGAGGAGCAGAAAGUGGCUGGCCACUAGCCACAGCUCUCCCUUCCCGUUCUUGCCUCCCACAGAGAGUCCAGCGCCAUGGAUGGGGCAGUUGCUGUUGCAGGCAGCAGCGUGGACACAGAUCUCCAGUCCUCAGGCAGCCCUGUUCCUGUGUGCCUGGUAGGUAGGCUGGAUGUCCAUUUUCUUCACUUGGGAGGGGAGCCCCCACACCCCUCCUUUGGACCAAAGCUGCUCUGCCUUGCCCCUCCAAGUGCGGGUGGUCCUCAGGGGCACCUUCUGUUGGAGAGUGCAAGGGAGUGGAGCAAGGUACACUGCUGGCCAGCUCUUCCCUCGCCCUUCCCUUCCCCCACCUUCUCCUCUGCCCCCGCCCAUCUCAGCGGCUCCACUGCCUGAACCUCCAGCAGGAUUCGCUGUCCAGUCCCCAAUAGCAGGCGCAGGAGCAGCAUGACAUCAUCGGGGCUGAGCGCUAUUGGCUGGGCAGACCCUGCGGGCAGGACGCUGUUUCCAGUGGCCAGGAAGUUAACUCUUACCUAGGCUGAAGCCAUGUGGCCUAUAGGGGACAAAAACAGAAAGGAUCCUCAUCAGUGGGCUCCAGAGCCCCCUGGCAGGAUGCUGUCUCCACACAGGUGUACUCAGAUGGGAAAAAGAACCUCUGAAGUAAGCCUUCAUCACUUUAGCAGGUGGGAUCAGCUGCUCAGGCAGGUCCUGGUUUGUGCCCUAGCCCAGGAGGAUGCUGUGGGAGUUGAAGCAGCAGCCCGAGGGAGAACAGGAAAAGCAGAAGUUGACAAGAGACUCUGUCACCUUAGCUAGAGUGUAGUAGCAUCAUCAUAGCUCACUGUGAGUUCCAAAUUCCUGGACUCAAAUGAUCCUCAUGCUUCAGCCUUAUCCUCCUGAGUAGCUGAGGCUAUGGAAGCCCACCACCAAAC
This is an RNA transcript of Nycticebus coucang (slow loris), 3148 nucleotides long. RefSeq lists it as uncharacterized. The transcript is spliced from 6 exons. NCBI's taxonomy places the organism in Eukaryota, Metazoa, Chordata, Mammalia, Primates, Lorisidae. The record is from RefSeq and is a predicted model, not a curated record.